UUGCCUGGCCAAAGUACUUAAGCUAAGUCAACUUUUCCGUCAGGCCGAUAACGUACAAAGAAAUUGCAUGGACAUUCCAUAAAUAGGCUAAGAAUUGUCAUCUUUUAUGAGAAUAUUGUGACCAAGGCCUCAUAUAUGUGUAAAAAGUGGAACGAGCCCGUAAAACAGUUGAAAAGUACGCAUAAGAAUGUCAUAUUUACGCAUUGCCAGAGGAGCAAAAGCUGGCAGCAAGAGCGAAUUUAAAACACAUACACAGCGAAACACUUGACUUGAUUAGCCAAAUUCCAUAACAUGGCAAAAAAAACUAGCUACAUAAUAAAUAAGUUUAAAAAAGAGCAAAACCAACAACAAGCUGCUCAAAAUUGUUUAUGGUGCGACUCCAAACUUGAAAGCAAAGACAAAAAACUAAAAAACAAAUACAAAACAAAAAAUAAAGCAAAAAAGGAAAACCAAAAAGCAAAGCAAAAGCAAAGCAAAAUCACGAGAGGGAGAGAAGUCAUUUUUGGUGAGAAAUUUCACUCGAGUCAGCGGAAGGCGAGGCGAGUUUCAAGGUUGCCAGCGAUUUUUCUAUGAUAAUGGAACAGGUGAACCCUGAAAAGGGGAAUUGAACAGAUGACAAAAUGAGCUACGAAAUACAAAUACCAUCAACAAAGUGAAAUAGAAGAGGAUGUUGUAUAGAGAUCGGAUUAAUUGAGGGUUUCAAAUUGGUAAAGUUAUCGCUAUUAAAAGAAGAUCAACGUGAAACUUUCGCUAUGUUAACAAUUUGAUUUGACGAAAGAUUAUUAGGAACGCAAUAAAUUGUGAAUGCAUUU
Drosophila innubila is the source of this 812-nucleotide long non-coding RNA. RefSeq lists it as uncharacterized. Lineage: Eukaryota; Metazoa; Arthropoda; Insecta; Diptera; Drosophilidae. The transcript has 3 exons. The record is from RefSeq and is a predicted model, not a curated record.